AGAAAUUCAGCUAAGAACUUUCUAGUUCCUAGGCUGUGUGUCCUGACCAUGUCCCAGAUGUGUGUGGAGUGAGACCCCCCUCCAGAACCAUCUAAACCAAAACAGAACAAAAGCAAGCUGUUGGUCCUUCCAAACAUUUAGCUCUGACUUUGAGCAGAAGAGAGAAUAACUGUGAAUAAUGUCUUUUGUUUAGAAUCAACAUUGAAGAUGGGGACAUCGAAGUCUUAUAAAUACAAUUGUUUUGACAGAAUCUGACUUCCUUAUUCUUGCUGAGAAUCUC
Molecule: long non-coding RNA, 280 nt
Filed under: Anser brachyrhynchus (Pink-footed goose)
Lineage: Eukaryota; Metazoa; Chordata; Aves; Anseriformes; Anatidae
Description: lncRNA (ENSABRG00000021154.1)
Source: RNAcentral